This 253-nucleotide ribosomal RNA is filed under the name uncultured bacterium. Its description in RNAcentral is "partial 16S ribosomal RNA". It matches the Rfam family "Bacterial small subunit ribosomal RNA", at positions 524 to 776 of the family's 1533-position model. The record is from RNAcentral.
UACGUAGGGUGCGAGCGUUAAUCGGAAUUACUGGGCGUAAAGCGUGCGCAGGCGGCUUUGUAAGACAGAUGUGAAAUCCCCGGGCUUAACCUGGGAACUGCGUUUGUGACUGCAAGGCUGGAGUGCGGCAGAGGGGGGUGGAAUUCCACGUGUAGCAGUGAAAUGCGUAGAGAUGUGGAGGAACACCGAUGGCGAAGGCAGCCCCCUGGGUUGACACUGACGCUCAUGCACGAAAGCGUGGGGAGCAAACAGG